This 252-nucleotide ribosomal RNA is filed under the name uncultured bacterium. Its description in RNAcentral is "partial 16S ribosomal RNA". It matches the Rfam family "Bacterial small subunit ribosomal RNA", at positions 524 to 776 of the family's 1533-position model. The record is from RNAcentral.
UACGUAGGGGGCUAGCGUUAUCCGGAAUUACUGGGCGUAAAGGGUGCGUAGGUGGUUUCUUAAGUCAGAGGUGAAAGGCUACGGCUCAACCGUAGUAAGCCUUUGAAACUGGGGAACUUGAGUGCGGAAGAGGAGAGUGGAAUUCCUAGUGUAGCGGUGAAAUGCGUAGAUAUUAGGAGGAACACCAGUUGCGAAGGCGGCUCUCUGGACUGUAACUAACACUGAGGCACGAAAGCGUGGGGAGCAAACAGG